CUCAGGUUGAUAGCCGGGCGGCCAAGUCCCUAGCCCCUGCACGGUGGACUCCUACUUUUAGGCCAAGCCGAAAACGCCGCCGACCGCCCCCGCACUUCCAACUUCAGAAACAGAACUUUAUGGCCCUGGGGAGUGUGAGGGGAGAGUGAAAAAUGUCUAACUGCUUGCUCUUUCCCUGUGAAUCGAAGUGAGACCCCUCCCCCACCUUGCCCUCCCUUGCUUCCAGCCUUGUUUCCAUACUCUCACCGGGCGGAUUUGGGCUUUGAAAGGGUGAGGAGAAGAGGGGAGAGAGAGAAAGGGCUGGGCUCUGCCAGCUCCCUGCAGCAAUAUAGCAACUUGGAAAUGGCGGGGUCAAUGAAAACAGCUCGAGUAAGGACUGUGAUGGGAACUUUGCCCAAGGGAGAAGCAGAAGCAAGAUAAGUAAUCCACCAAAACAUGAGCAGAAUAGAGCCUGUCACAAAGUGGACACUCAGACACUAUUAAAGGAAUGAAUCAAUGGCUGCUGGUGGUUAUAACUCAUCUGGAGGAGGCAGAAAUG
This is a long non-coding RNA of Lynx canadensis (Canada lynx), 538 nucleotides long. RefSeq lists it as uncharacterized. The transcript is spliced from 3 exons. The record is from RefSeq and is a predicted model, not a curated record. Lineage: Eukaryota; Metazoa; Chordata; Mammalia; Carnivora; Felidae.